Bubalus bubalis (water buffalo) is the source of this 8802-nucleotide long non-coding RNA. RefSeq lists it as uncharacterized. The record is from RefSeq and is a predicted model, not a curated record. Lineage: Eukaryota; Metazoa; Chordata; Mammalia; Artiodactyla; Bovidae. The transcript has 2 exons.
CACACACACACACACACACACACACACACACUCUCAGGAUAGCUGUGCUCUUUGGGGGCGUGACUCACAGAAUGAAGCCAGAACAGCGCCCUCUAGCGACUGGGCCAGGAGAGUGGGCUCUGGGCCUCUCCUCACUCCUGCCGGUCCUGCUGGAGGGUUAAUAUCGGCACUGUUGUUUCUCAUUAUUCAUGAGACAAGCUUCCUCAUUUCAGAUUUGCCCAGUGGUUCUCAGAGCAGGAGGGGAUGAUGAAGUUCUGUUUCAGCUGCGUGGACGUCUUGGGGAGCGUUUGGAGCGUCCAUGCAGACGUGCUACCUCCGUGCACUUCUUAGCUGAGAUAACAGGGCUCUGAGCCCCACUGUUAAGGUUCACCUCUACACUGCAGAAGGACAACAGAUGGAAAUUCUGGUUUGCAGCCACUGCAGAAAAAUAAAAACAUGUUCCAAAGGGGAAAGGAUCUUGUAUUUCUGCGUUUGAACCUUUGAUCUGCAUUCACAUCUGAAGGGAAGGCUAGGCCUUUUGGUGGAGACACAUGGCUUUGCAUCUGUGAAAACACAGCUGUAUAUAGCAAAACAAAACUAGUGGAAAAUACAAUGGUUUUGCUGUGUCAGGCUAGCCGCUAAUGCUCAAAUUCUAUACAAAUAUUGUUUUUUGAUAGUUCUUUCCAAAAUCCGUCUUGACUUUAUAAUUGUUCAGGAAUGUUUUAUUCUUUUAAAUUCACAUUUUGAGCCUUUUUGAAAUGAAGGCAUGUGGGUCUCAUUCCCUUAGAUUUGCUUUUAAAAAGGCAGUAAAAGACUUGUAGUUAAAUUGUAGUAACUGUUAUCUAAAUCUUAAUUUAAUUGCGGGAGGGUGGCGGGAUAGAAAAAAAUUAAACCCUUCAAAAAAGGUUCCAUCCUUGAUCCUGAAAAUCUUUUUUUUUUUUUUUUAAGAUAAUAUUGCAUGGGCUUUGUGCUGCAAGUUACAGCUGAAAGGCCUCUUAAGCGCUCUUGAAACUCAACUGCUUUGUUUUGAGCAAUUAAGAUUUGUUAUGGAGUGCUUUAAGCAGCUCUGCUUUCCUUCAUCUUUAAAUAGUAGUCUUCAGCUAGUUUCUUUAUCAGCGUUUCCCAGUAACUAAGCCAAAUUUGUUUCAUUAGGAGGCACUUGCCUUGAGCCUCCAUGUUUCCUCUCAGCCCCAGACGCGGAGCCCAAGCCUGUGCGCCCGCCUUAUCCUGCCCCAUACGGUUGGUUUCCUACUAUUGAAUUGGCAAUCUUUUUCCGUCCCUCCCCUUUCCGUUAAAGCUCUGGCCCCCCGUCGGCCCUGCCACAGGAGUGGGGUGCAGAGGGGUGGAGGACAAAAGACGAGGAUGAGAGUUGGCCGGGCCAGCAGAAGGCCGCUGCCUGCCCCUGCCCUGCAGAAGUGUCCCUUCCAUUUUUCUGAAAGGGGCCCGGCUUCUUGGGCUGUCACCCUCCCCACCCUGUCUUAACACCAACAGCUUCAUCAACAAGCGGCUCAGGAGAUGAAAGGUGGUCUUCUUUAAGCGAGAUCAUUUUUUUGUCAAAAAUAAUAACAACCUCUGGUGUUAAUCACACCGGUGGGAAGAGCAAGAGCGAACAUCCUUCCACGCAAGCCCCGGGAAAGUUUUCCCUUUGAAGUGCUGGUUCCCGCCUCACCCUUCCAGGAGGGAAGAGGGGAAAAGAAAACAAGGGUGAAGAUCUGAAGCCACUGAGGAAUGCUGAAUUGAUGUCUUCCCUCGGCAUCCCGGCCCCUCUAGCGGUCCUCCCCUCCUUUCAACUCUCUGCCCUUUGAAACCGCGGGCCUGGGGUGGCCGGGUCUCCCAACCAGGCCCUCUUGUAGCUGCAGGCUUCCCCCUCCGACUGGCAGCGGGGCGGUGGCCGCGCAGAGAAGCGGGCAGAGCGGGCAGAAGCCGGCUGAAGGGGUGGGAGCACCCGGCAGAGCCUGCUUAGGCUUAUGGCGGGAGGCUUUGCCGUUCUGAGCAAAGAAAAAACAAACAAACCCAAAGCCCCCAAAUGAACAAAAAAAGCCCUCCCCCAGCCCCAGCCCCUCCUUCACAGCUGCAUUUUGCUCCCAGGACUGUGGGUGUCACUAGAGCCUCUUUUUUGCGACUGGAGAGGCUCUCCUACAGGACUUGCCAAGCCUAUUAAAUUUUCAGGCAGAACAGAUCAAGCCUGCGUUUGAUGCUGCUGUUUCCUCAUUUAGUAUUCAAAGGUAAAGAAUCCUACCUUCUCACUCGUUACAUAAUUAAAAGAGGGUUUUUUUUUUCUAGUGGCAAAGAACUUGUCAUGUGUAGUAUUUUUUGAAGUAAAAGGUCUAACUUUUUAUAUAACAUCUGUUCUUACGCUCUUUCCUAAAUAUAACCAAUAUUUACUUGUUUUUGUUGGUCCUGAGUUGCAUACCGUACACCCUGCGUUUUAAUUUUCGACAGAUGGGGUUAUAAACAGUAUUUUCCCCCUCCAGCUCAUUCCUCUAAGUUUAAAUUUCUGUAUUUCUGUUCUAACCAACCAAGAGUGCAAUUAAAACUAAAACUCUAGAACCGACAAAUAGCCCUAACUUCUCUCUUACUCUCGAUUUUACUUUACGCUUGCACAUUCUAAAGUUAACGCGAGUGGACUUUCACGUUUCCAUCUGCGGUGUCUAAUAGCAAACUGUGGCCCUCAACACCACUUCAGGGCCUUUUGUGUUCUUCGCUGCAUUUCAGAAGUGCCUUCGGUUUCUCUGCAUAUGCAAAAAGCCCAGCCGAAUUUUUUGACACCACACGUAUGCACACACCCGCUCACCCCGGCCCCAACUCUCUGUUUGUUGGUGGCAUCUUGUCGUCCAUUGUUUGGUUGUUGGUGUUGGCAAAAGUCAUUCAUUUAAUGGUGCCAGAGAUAUUAUGCCUUAUUCUUUAUUGGAACAAAACCCGAAAAUAUCCCCAAGUAUUUUAAAAAUGAAUGCCUGCCAUUGGAACUGUUAUAAAUUAGCAUAGUUGUAUUUUCCCAUCCUAAGGUAGAUAAUAUUUUAAAGGUACCAGGUAGUAAUAGUCACCAUAAGCUGAUUAAAAUGGCUAGGAUUCUAUCAAAAACCUAUUAGUGGCAUAAAUAAUUGAUAUCUGGAAAUCAAGCAGCCUUUCUGUGCGUAUACCACUGCGCGGGCAGCACGGUCCAGUACUUCCACGAGGCAGAGGAAGGUUCCUGGGAGUUAUGUUGCCUGGGUUUUAAAAGCUUGAUAAAGCCACACACAAACUGAUUUAAAAAAACCAAAAAAUUCUGCCUGGGAGCGGAAUAGUGACAUUAUUUUCAGGUGUUUGAGCUUCUUAGAGAAAAGGAACAAGUAACAAGACUUCUCAGGAGCCAGGUGUGAACGGAAUAAAUUGAGGCAGUGUCCUGACCCAUCCAGCUUUUUGUAAAUGAUGUGAUUAAAAGGGACAUCUGAGAACAAAUUUAUGAAGUUGUUAUGGCAACUGAAACACUUGGGUGGAAAUAUGUGUGUCUGAAACAUGAAAGAUUGCAGGAAGCUGGAGGAAGAAGCGGGCGUUUUAUAUGGGCAAGGCGGUUGAACAGUGGCAGCCAAAUGUGAUCCCUCCGCCGGUCAUCAUUCAGGACUGCGGCCUUGAUUUCCACUUUUCAGAACGUGUGGUGACCGAUGCUUUCCCAGACUGUGCUACCCGAAGUCGCCACGCCUUGCACACAGCAGCCUCUGCACACGGGUCCCUUGACCUGUUGAGAGCACUCUCUCCUACGUACGAAGGUGCAUUUGGAGUUGCCUCAGCAUUUGCCCAGAAGUUUGCACGUCUGUGUUCUCGUAUUGAUGUCCUUGUUUUGUGAAUUUUCUCUCCCUGUUUUCCUCCACUGGCUUCCCCUACCCAAGCCCACAAACAAACAGCAGUGCUUAAAGGAAUCAAAAUACUUAAAUAUUCCCGAGGAUUCUCUGCUCUCUUCCAAAAACUGUCUAUCGCUUCUCCAUAAUAUGACACUACCAUAAUUUCUCAUGCUUUUUGAUUUUUCUCUCCCAUGCUGGCAAGAGUAUGAAAUAAUGGUUCUUUUAAAUCACAGGCACGGAUAUUUAAAAUUCUACAUAUUUUGUACUACAGAGUGUUGGAAAAAUCAAUACUUUGUCACAUCCAGAAUGCUUUAAAUUUUUUUUUAACUUUACAAUAUUGUAUUGGUUUUGCCAUAUAUAAAUUUUUUUCUGUCACUAGAUUUCAGAUAUAUACAGUGCCUAAAAAUUGUUUUAAGAAUCACAUUAUUUCCUAUAUAUUUGGCACUGUUUUGCUUUGAAUGAAAAGAUAGUUAAAUGUCAGUUAUAGUAAUUUUAGUGGUUAGACUAUUCUAUAAGAAAUAUGCUAUUUUAAUUGAAAAAAGUUUGACCCUAAAAAUAAAUUUAAACCAACAAAUUCUAAUGAAAAUAUUUUCUUCACAUUUAUUUUUGAAUAUAGAUUACUGCUUAUUUAGUCUCCUUGAUUUUAAGCAUAGUACUUUUCACUUUGAACAGUCUUAAUUCCUAAAAUUAAGAUAAGUGAAGAAAAAGAGAAAAAAUUAAAAUAGUUUUUAGAGAAUGUUAUUUUCCUUAAGUCAUGAAUUGGAGCUUUUCACUCUUACUGAAAUGACUCAACAGUUUUUUAGUUGAACAUGAAAUUACACAAAAAUUGCCCUUAUAAAUAUAAUGAGGUGUUUUCCUAAUUUUUUAAAGAAUGAGAUAAAAACACUUUUCUAUUCUAUUGCAAAGUUAACUGCUGUUAAUCUGAAAGACUAUUCAUUUAAAAUAUUUAGUUACACCAGUAUUUUAAAUCCCUUUUUGCAUAAGGACAAGGAAAUGGUUGUGUUUUGAUCUAACUUCCUUAUUUGCAAAAUCCAUAGAUGGAAGAUGAUACCAAAAUAAAAAAGAAUGUUUCAAGAGUAUUAAACCUAAGAAUGCAGGGUCUUUACACACAUUUUACAGAAAUAAAUUUCCUGUUUCCCUUCUUUAGUCUUUUCAUCUCAAGGGUUUUUGGUUUUUCCUUUUUAAGAAAAUAUGAUUUUGAUACUUCCGAAGUAGAUACUAUUUUAUUUCAGGUGGUUCAUUUAAUAGUUUGUUGAUGUUUUCAAGGUCUCUAAACAAAGUCUGAUGUGUUAACAGUCUUAUUAACGAUGUUAAAAUAGAAUUAACAGCUUGUGGAUGCCUCCAGAGCACAAUAGCCUGUCAACCUCUCCUGCCCCCUUAUAAACUGUACCCCUGCUGUCUUCCCUUUGUUUCACGCCCAAUCAGCAAACUAAACUUUUGUGGAGAGAGAAGGCAGUUCAAGUGUUCCUGCUACCGUUGAAGGGAGGAGCUAAUGUGGAAUUUACGGGGAGACCAAUCAGUGCUGGAGGGAAGAAUGACCCCAAACGGGGAAGAAGGACUUUGUUGACCUGCUUGGCUCCCUGACCUUUCCUUGCUAUUUUGUCGCUUUAAAGAGGUUUGCUCUGGUUGUCGCGUACUUUACGAUCCUUUUACCAAAGCCACAGAAGUUUUGGAUGUUUGGGAUUAUUUAAAAUACUUCGCACAGGUUUAAUUGUGUUGUGUGUGUGUGUGUGUGUGUGUGUGUGUGUUUAAUAAUUGGACUAGAUGUUAGCACUCAACAUCAUUUUUAAAAGUCUGAUCCAACUACUAACAGUUUUUCUUAUAGGGGAAUAGAGUUUCAUCAAUUAUCUUGAGCCAAAGUGCAUUCUAAAUCUCUUCCAGGGUCUCUUGCCCAUAGCUGCUUUCAUCGAGAAUCAUUAGCUACUGAUGUUAAGCCAUUCAUCCUAUUUUGUUGAAAUUAUUCUUUGAAAAAUAGAUUUAUACUUUCUAAGUGUUUAAAAUAUUAGGCAGUGAUCAUAAUGAAUAGAAAAUAAAGAUUUUUUUUUUUUAGGAGAAGGCUGAUUUUUCAUUCAUAUUGCUAAUUUAACAAAUUGUCUCAUUUAAAAGUACAGAUUUAUGGGAUAACCUGACAAAUGAGUCAUACCAUUUUAUCUUUUGCCACCAUCUGACUUGAUAACCUAUGAAAUGCAGCACAUUUAUAAAAUAUUUCCUAAUCUCAUGGCACACUUCACUGGUUUUGGUAAGGGAUGAGAUCUUAUUGAGAAGUAUUUUUUAGGUCACUCAACCACUUAUUCGUUUACUGGUAUUGUUCUUUCUUGUAAUGUGGGGUUUUUGUUUACAUUACUUUUAAACAGGCCACUGUUCAGUCGCUCAAAAUACAGUGCUGAGAUCUAAGACAGUCCAUGUGGGUACAAAAAAAAAAGCAUCUCAGGCUGGAUUCAGGACACUGAGCAUUUUCUUUAAACCACAGUUAAAUAAAAUCACUGAUACACCCAGAUAUGGAGAGUGAGAUACAUUUAAAUGACCUGUGGUUUCAAAAUGAUUAUUUUGUCAAGGAAUAUGCUAGAAGAAAACAGGGCAGUACUAGCUUAUCACUUCUCUUAGCUCACAUUGUGCUACAUAGCCGAUCCCCAAGGGGAAUAUUUUCUUAUACUUUAUAAACCCUAGAAAUGGCAUCCUUCAAUUGAACUGGAGCAAACAAGUUGUAUGUCUGUGAAACUGGAGCAGGCAGGGCUUUGUGUGAUACCAGCCACAUGUGCUGGUAUAAAUAUCAAUAAUAACAUUUUCUGGUGGGCAUCUUUGAGUGCACACUGCCUCACUAAGGUCCUUUCACCUGGCCAAGGAAGAACAUCACUGUGGUAGUUCUCCCACAGCUGUAACUGCUGUAAUUUUUACCCGAAGCACUUGCUGUUGUCCACCCCCCAGCCCAUGGCCUCGUGUGUCCUAACACCCUGCAGCUGGGUAGCAGGACCAGCUCACGGCCAAGUAUAGCUGAGCUCUUUUGGGGCAUGCCCGCUGAGUGAGUGCCCCAGGCCCUGGAGUUGGGGAUAUGCCGAGGGAUGUGGGUACCUCACAGUCAUGGGGACCAGACGUCAGUACUGUGACCACCUGAUUCAAGUAUCCAGUGUGUGUCUGCAUGACUUGGGAACGCUGAGAAAGCCAAAGGGAUUAUCGACAUACAAAGCUUGACACCUUUGUGCAGAAGCCAGCUGGCAUCUCACGGGGACAACCUGAGCUGUUCCAACAUCAGGAAAGCUGGGUUUGGCUGGAUCUGGUUGGCUCCUGCUAUUCCAGGAGCACGGCAGGCUUGGCCCCAAUGGAGGGAGGGGAAGAAUACCCUGGGGCUGAUACUGGGACCCAUUUCUUUUGUUUCCGGUGAGGCAGAGAGGAAUAGAACUGCAAAAAUGAUGAUAUUUUAAUAACCAGGGCUUUUCUCCAUAAAGACUUUGUACAUAGCAUUUAUCCUCCAAAAAGUCUCUCCUCUUUUUGUGAUUUUAUAAAUUUGAAGGAAAAGGAGAAAAGGUCUGUGGUCCCAGCACUUGCCUUCAUCUAAAUAACUCUCGCUCACUGAUGAUUAGCAACAUAAAUCCUGUUUGAGUUCUGGACUAGUACUCUCAGCCGGAAGUUUUCAUAUGCUUUUUAGAAUUCUGAACUGGCCACAGCAGCUUUUAGGAAAGUAAAGGAUACAAAUAAAGUUUAUAAUAAUUUGACUGUUCACUUCUGCAUUUCAAAAUAUGUCAUUUGUAGAAAUUUUUUUCUCUGAAUCUUUGGAAUUCCCUGAAUACUUUGAAGCCAGUUGUGAAAUGCUGCUUUAGAAAGAGUUUAUAUAAAAAAAAAGUUUAUAUAAAUGUGCUUCUUUAUUUAAUCAUAAGGGAGAUUUAGAGAAAGGAUGUUUUAUUUUUCUGUAGUUUUGUUUGAUAAGAAUAUGGAAUUACUGUUAUGAUUACUAAUGAUACCUUACAUUUGCACAGCACUUUAGAAUUUUUACAAAUAUGAUUGCACAUAAUUUUUGAAAGAGUUUGACCGGAAGAUAUUAUUAUCCUGGUUUUAUAGACAAGGAAUCAAUAAAUGCACACACAUGUAACAUACCAUGUAGUUCCAGCAUUAUAUUUCCAGAGGAUUCUGUGCUUUAGGAAAUAUAUUUGGUAUGUAAAAUGGCUAAAAACUACAAAUCUAGGACUGAAGAAUUUAUUUUGGUUUCACAUAGUAGCUACAAAAGAUGACAAAAACAGGAAUAAAAUCAUGUGAUAAUGUGCAGUGCCUCUUUGAAUGCACAGCUAUCUGAAUUUUUGUUGGAUGAUUGCUUUGUUUUCAUGUGUUUCACAUCUAUAUCAUAGCAUGCUAUAUUAUAGCACAAUACUAAAAUAUAAAAAAUAGUCAAAGUAUCCCUCAUAUUUUUAAAGAUAAAAAUUAUAAUCACAAUAUCAUAGCAGAAUAGUGUUUUCCCAUUAAAGGAUAGUCUGAUUUGUAGUUGACUGUAAUUUCUUUCUUAUGAGAUCUCAAAACAGACAAAAUAUAUUUACUCUCGAUAUUUUCCCCUGCUUGUUAAAGACUAGGUAUUCAGAAUAUUUGUUUUGAGACGUUUAUUGCUACUGUUCAGAAACAGAACUAUGUUAUUGGGCAGGAAAAUCUGAUUAGUGUUUCUAAGAACUGUUAUAGCACAGCAAGACAGGCAAGCAAUCCGAAGUGCAAGGUUAAAAGCAAUUUAUAAAAACUAGGCAAAGACGUUACUUGUUAAAAAAAGAAAUACAUAUUUCUUAAGAAAAAAUUGUCUAAGUGAUAUUCUUGACUACUUUUUCGUUAUAGUACUUUCAGGUUAUUUUCAUUAAAAAUAUUUUCUUUGAGGGGAGCAGAGAAGGAAGAAUUAAAAUGAGAAAGAAGACCUCAAAAUUUGCUAUUCGGUAAGAUCCUAAAUCUUAUUAAUAUAGUUUUCCGUGAAAAAAAUUAAACUUUUUAAAAACUUCAUAUGUUAACCCUAAGAAAAGUCUCCACAUAUGGUCCCAAA